UGGGGAAUUUUGGACAAUGGGCGCAAGCCUGAUCCAGCAAUGCCGCGUGCAGGAUGAAGGCCUUCGGGUUGUAAACUGCUUUUGUACGGAGCGAAAAGGUCUGCCCUAAUACGGUGGGCUCAUGACGGUACCGUAAGAAUAAGCACCGGCUAACUACGUGCCAGCAGCCGCGGUAAUACGUAGGGUGCGAGCGUUAAUCGGAAUUACUGGGCGUAAAGCGUGCGCAGGCGGUUAUACAAGACAGAUGUGAAAUCCCCGGGCUCAACCUGGGACCUGCAUUAGUGACUGUAUAGCUAGAGUACGGUAGAGGGGGAUGGAAUUCCGCGUGUAGCAGUGAAAUGCGUAGAUAUGCGGAGGAACACCGAUGGCGAAGGCAAUCCCCUGGACCUGUACUGACGCUCAUGCACGAAAGCGUGGGGAGCAAACA
RNAcentral lists this ribosomal RNA (427 nucleotides) under uncultured bacterium. RNAcentral's name for it is "bacterial SSU rRNA". It matches the Rfam family "Bacterial small subunit ribosomal RNA", at positions 355 to 774 of the family's 1533-position model. The record is from RNAcentral.